RNAcentral lists this non-coding RNA (80 nucleotides) under Komagataeibacter xylinus. Its description in RNAcentral is "Fluoride sequence". It matches the Rfam family "Fluoride riboswitch aptamer (crcB RNA motif)". Lineage: Bacteria; Pseudomonadati; Pseudomonadota; Alphaproteobacteria; Acetobacterales; Acetobacteraceae. The record is from RNAcentral.
AAGACCGACGGCAAUGGACUCUGCCGGACCAUGAUGGUCGAACCGUCUCCUGCAUGGGGGCUGAUGAUUCCUACCCAACG